CAGCCAAAAAGGAGAUAUUAAAGAUGGGAAUCAGAAAGUGACACAACGCAUAGGCAACAAGCAAAUUCACAUCACAUGGGAGUGGGACUGUGACUGUCCCAAUUUAUCUUGUUUUCUUCACUUUGGUUUUUACUGCAACAAGUCCGUUCGUAUCAGCUCUACUAUUUACAGAGCAUGAUCGGUAGUACGUUAGUAUUGCUUGUAUGGUCAUCAUGGGUACCCACCCUUGUAAUGUAGAGGUUUUUGUUUUUGCUUUUUUUUUUACCAACGAUAUUAUCUACACUACUUUAGUAUUGCUUGUAUGGUCAUCAUGUGUUGUAGGGCUGGGCACGGGCCGGGCCCAAUUUUGA
This 350-nucleotide long non-coding RNA is filed under the name Malus domestica (apple). Its description in RNAcentral is "long non-coding RNA (MDOM_LNC014489)". The record is from RNAcentral. Lineage: Eukaryota; Viridiplantae; Streptophyta; Magnoliopsida; Rosales; Rosaceae.